Molecule: microRNA precursor, 205 nt
Organism: Oryza sativa Indica Group (long-grained rice)
Lineage: Eukaryota; Viridiplantae; Streptophyta; Magnoliopsida; Poales; Poaceae
Rfam family: MIR812 microRNA precursor family
Source: Rfam
AAAAAUACAAACUGUGGGUUCCCGUGCCAACGUUUGACCGUCCGUCUUAUAUGAAAUUGUUUUAUAAUUAGUAUUUUCAUUGUUGUUAGAUGAUAAAACAUAAUUAAUACUUUAUACGUGACUUAUCUUUUAAAUUUUUUUCAUAACUUUUUCAAAUAAAACGAACAGUCAAACGUUGGACACGGAAACAAGGGUUUGUCUUUUU